GGGUGAUCGGCCACACUGGGACUGAGACACGGCCCAGACUCCUACGGGAGGCAGCAGUAGGGAAUCUUCGGCAAUGGGGGCAACCCUGACCGAGCAACGCCGCGUGAGUGAAGAAGGUUUUCGGAUCGUAAAGCUCUGUUGUUAGAGAAGAAUGAUGGUGGGAGUGGAAAAUCCACCAAGUGACGGUAACUAACCAGAAAGGGACGGCUAACUACGUGCCAGCAGCCGC
RNAcentral lists this ribosomal RNA (229 nucleotides) under Salmonella enterica subsp. enterica serovar Typhimurium str. STm4. RNAcentral describes it as "partial 16S ribosomal RNA". It matches the Rfam family "Bacterial small subunit ribosomal RNA", at positions 298 to 518 of the family's 1533-position model. Lineage: Bacteria; Pseudomonadati; Pseudomonadota; Gammaproteobacteria; Enterobacterales; Enterobacteriaceae. The record is from RNAcentral.